AUUCACUGGUGCUUGCUGAACAUUUAUAGAGACCAAACAGUGGAUUUCAGCACAGUGAGGUGGUGAGUGGUAUGUUUCAACAGUGGUGAGAGUGACUGAGAGACAAGUAAUGUUCUGGAAGGCCAUGUACACCUGUCACACUACAAAAUUAAGAGCAUUUCAAUGAGCUCAUCUGCUCAAAUCGGCAGGUUAUGACCAGAGAACUCUGUAAGGAGCUGAAUAUCAGCUUGACUGUGUUGGGAUAUUCCAGUUUGCAUCAGCUGGGUGCCACAAAUCCUUACACAAGAUCAGAAAGAACAUUGUAUGUGACUUUUUCAGGACCUGUUGAACAGUCAUGGUGUUGAAGGUGAGUGACAGUUUCUUGAAACACAUCUUUACUGAUGAUGUGACAUAGUGUCACCAGUGUGAGCUGGAGUCAAAACUGUAGUUCAUGGCAUCUGUGGAGUGCUGACAUGUGGAUUCCCCACCAAGAAAAAAGUUCAAGACACAGACCUCAGGGAAAAGUGAUAUUCACUGUCUUUUGGAAUAGGAAAGGGGCGUUCCUUCUGGAUUUCCUGGAACCCAGAUGAAUCAACAUCUCUGUUUUCUACUUUGCAGUUCUGGCUAAGCUGCAGGCUUGAGUGUCCAGAGUCAGGCCAGAGAAAAAUACAACCUGCCUUUUGUAAUAUUCUCCUAGCAACCAUGCCAGCAUAGCAGCUGUGAAAGGAAAAUAGUUCAGCUGCUGACCAGCAAAGUGAGGGAGGGAAUUGUCCACUUCUACUCUGACCUUACAAGGCCCCAUCUGGAGUACUAUGUCCAGACCUGAGGUCCCAGCACAAGGAAGAUGUGGAGCUUUUGGAGAGAGUCCAGAGGAAGGCCACAAGGAUGAUCAGAGGUCUGGAGCAUCUCUUGUACUGAGACAGGUUGAGGGAGUUUGGCUUUUUCAGACUGGAAAAGAGAAGUUUCUCUAAGACCUCACUACAGCCUUCCAAUAUUUAAAGAGAUUGUGGAUGCCCUGUUCCUAGGCAUGUUCCAGGCCAGGAUGGAUGGGGAUGUGGGCAGCCUGAUCUUGUGCUUCAUCUAGUGGUUGGCAAUUCUGCUCAUAACAAGGUUGAAAAUAGUUGGAGGAGACCUCAAAGAUCACCUCAAGACAUUCUGCAAUUCUUAAAAUGUCUUGGUUUCUUUUGUAAUAUCAGUGUGUUGAAAAUAAUACCUCCUAAGACAUUAAUACUUCUGCCUCCAAAAAGUGCGUACAACUUCACUCCAACUUUAGAAAAGGAUGAAUUACACUUUCUUUUUAAACAUUAGAAAUUCAUUUGGCAACUACAGCAUUGUCGAAGCAAAUUGAUUUAUAAGAUGCCAAGAUCUCAACCAUUUUCUAUAUAACUGAACAGUGAAAUAAAGGCCUGGGGAAGUAGUGAUGAUGUCCAAAAGAGACUUUUCCUGCAAGUGAUAGAUAGACCACUGGUUUUAUGGAAGAGUGAGGUGGUGAUAAUACUUUCUUCUUGCAUAUUACAAGCCCUUGUUUAACCAUAAUUUGCAACAUUCCACUUUCAUAAGCUAGAAAGUUGUCUUACAGGACAUGUUGAAGGACUUUGGCCUUCAAGCAGUUAAAGGAGAGGAACACAGCUAACCUGUUGUUUAAAGGGUGUCUUCAAGAUAACACUGUUGUAUAUGCAAAUACAGACCUUUUGCUACUAUGGUAGUGUAUUUGUCUUACUUUUAAUGUGUCUUAGAUGACUAAAAUUUCCCCAGAUGUUUAUUCUCAUUUACAGGCAGCAAUAGAAUUCAUUGUAGUGAGAUUGUCUGAGACAAGUUGAAGAGACUAUACUUCAUGAAAGAAACAAAUACAUCUUUCUAGGCUUCAGUAUGUGCCUCUUACUGAGGAGAUGAUUCAGAUGCUCGUGUGAAGGAGUGUGAGCUGGUUUCCGUGGGAGACAUUUCUGGAAAAUUAAGAGAGAGGCUGAUGAAAUUCAACUGCAGAAAUUUUUUCCAGGGAGAAGGUUGAAUUGAUAUUAGGAAAUCUGAAAAUUGGAUGGUCUUUAUGAUUUUGAUUUGUUUGUUAUUCUCACAACUGAAAAUAACUCGUCUAAGUUGCAAACAGAACAUGCACUAUCUGUUUAUUUCUGUGAACAAACAAAAAACCCGUGUUUUCAAUUGUUACUCUUCUUUGGCAUGUAAAGAUAUUCUUCCUGAUUCUGUAGAAAUAUUGUAUAGCACAAAAAUGAUGUUUCAUUUGUGAAAAAUUUCAACAAAAUUUGCCCACCUGUGUGACGUAUUGGAGGGUACCUGCAUUAGCAAGGGUUAGACUCUGUGAUUU
Molecule: long non-coding RNA, 2299 nt
Organism: Centrocercus urophasianus (Greater sage-grouse)
Lineage: Eukaryota; Metazoa; Chordata; Aves; Galliformes; Phasianidae
Exons: 3
Source: RefSeq, a predicted model, not a curated record